This 651-nucleotide ribosomal RNA is filed under the name Enterobacter asburiae. Its description in RNAcentral is "bacterial SSU rRNA". It matches the Rfam family "Bacterial small subunit ribosomal RNA", at positions 762 to 1413 of the family's 1533-position model. Lineage: Bacteria; Pseudomonadati; Pseudomonadota; Gammaproteobacteria; Enterobacterales; Enterobacteriaceae. The record is from RNAcentral.
UGGGGAGCAAACAGGAUUAGAUACCCUGGUAGUCCACGCCGUAAACGAUGUCGACUUGGAGGUUGUGCCCUUGAGGCGUGGCUUCCGGAGCUAACGCGUUAAGUCGACCGCCUGGGGAGUACGGCCGCAAGGUUAAAACUCAAAUGAAUUGACGGGGGCCCGCACAAGCGGUGGAGCAUGUGGUUUAAUUUGAUGCAACGCGAAGAACCUUACCUACUCUUGACAUCCAGAGAACUUUCCAGAGAUGGAUUGGUGCCUUCGGGAACUUUGAGACAGGUGCUGCAUGGCUGUCGUCAGCUCGUGUUGUGAAAUGUUGGGUUAAGUCCCGCAACGAGCGCAACCCUUAUCCUUUGUUGCCAGCGGUUAGGCCGGGAACUCAAAGGAGACUGCCAGUGAUAAACUGGAGGAAGGUGGGGAUGACGUCAAGUCAUCAUGGCCCUUACGAGUAGGGCUACACACGUGCUACAAUGGCGCAUACAAAGAGAAGCGACCUCGCGAGAGCAAGCGGACCUCAUAAAGUGCGUCGUAGUCCGGAUUGGAGUCUGCAACUCGACUCCAUGAAGUCGGAAUCGCUAGUAAUCGUAGAUCAGAAUGCUACGGUGAAUACGUUCCCGGGCCUUGUACACACCGCCCGUCACACCAUGGGAGUGG